This 544-nucleotide ribosomal RNA is filed under the name Sporobolomyces roseus. Its description in RNAcentral is "eukaryotic LSU rRNA". It matches the Rfam family "Eukaryotic large subunit ribosomal RNA", at positions 89 to 647 of the family's 3401-position model. Lineage: Eukaryota; Fungi; Basidiomycota; Microbotryomycetes; Sporidiobolales; Sporidiobolaceae. The record is from RNAcentral.
GCGAGCGAAGCGGGAAAAGCUCAAAUUUGUAAUCUGGCGUCUACGACGUCCGAGUUGUAAUCUCGAGAAGUGUUUUCCGUGAUAGACCGCAUACAAGUCUCUUGGAACAGAGCGUCAUAGUGGUGAGAACCCAGUACACGAUGCGGAUGCCUAUUACUUUGUGAUACACUUUCGAAGAGUCGAGUUGUUUGGGAAUGCAGCUCAAAUUGGGUGGUAAAUUCCAUCUAAAGCUAAAUAUUGGCGAGAGACCGAUAGCGAACAAGUACCGUGAGGGAAAGAUGAAAAGCACUUUGGAAAGAGAGUUAACAGUACGUGAAAUUGUUGGAAGGGAAACACAUGCAGCCAGACUUGCUAUUCGGGGCAACUCGAUUGGCAGGCCCGCAUCAGUUUUUCGGGGCGGAAAAUCAUAGAGAGAAGGUAGCAAUUUCGGUUGUGUUAUAGCUCUUUAUUGGAUUCGCCCUGGGGGACUGAGGAACGCAGCGUGCUUUUAGCAUAAGCUUCGGCUUAUCCACGCUUAGGAUGCGGGUGUAAUGGCUGUAUAUGA